Molecule: RNA transcript, 1696 nt
Organism: Vigna angularis (adzuki bean)
Lineage: Eukaryota; Viridiplantae; Streptophyta; Magnoliopsida; Fabales; Fabaceae
Gene name: DNA repair protein RAD51 homolog 4
Exons: 10
Source: RefSeq, a predicted model, not a curated record
UUUUCAAUCUUCACUUAAUGUUCAAUCACUGAUUUCGCUGAUUGAACGCACAAACCAAUUCUUAAUUUCGCUAAUUGAACCCUUACGAGUAAACCCUAUUUUUCACCAUUUUGUUUUUAGAAAACAAAAUUCUACCUCACCGAUUGUUAUUGUGCCAAGUAAUUUAAAAACCGCUAAAUCACUGUUUCGUCAACGCUGAUCGACAUAGUUAAUGAUUAGGGUUUGAUUGUAUAAUUUUUUCUACAAUAGAAACCAAAUUAAUACGCGUAUAAAUAAAAGUACUUAUUUGAGAUUUUCUUGUUAGGGAAACACAAUUUAAUCUCCAACUUUUGGACAUUGUACACGAGACACAGUGCGAGAGCUUUGGAUAAUACAGAAGAGAAUAGUAGCAUGGUGCAGAGAAAAUGGCACCCUUGAAAUCGCUGGAGAAAGAGUACCCUCUCAUUGACUCCAAUUUUCAAAGCUUCUGUGCCUCACACGCCAUUUUCUCUGUUCAAGAUUUCCUUCUGCAUGAUAUCGACGCAUUAAUUGCCUUGGCGGAUAAUCACUGUGCUUCACAGACUCUCAAGCAAGGAAUAGACCAGCUUCUGUCAAUAAUAGAUGCUCGUCAUCCACCGUUGCUAAAUGGCUUGCAGCUCUUGGAAGACGUUCAGCGGAAUAAACAUGUUUUGUCUACUGGAUGUGAAGGGAUUGACGCAUUGCUCGGAGGUGGAUUACGAGAAGGACAAUUAACUGAACUUGUUGGGUCAUCCGCAUCAGGAAAGACACAGGCAUGCCUACUGUCUGCUUCAACUGUUGCAAAACAUAAGAGUUCAGUUAUAUACUUAGAUACAGGCAACUCCUUUUCACCUCAUCGUAUUGCACGUUUUGUUGGCCAGUCUUCUGGUUAUGAUUCUGAAAAUCAGGCUGAUCAUAUGCUCAAAAAAGUAUUGGACAGGAUAAUUUGCCACUCAGUGUUUGACAUCUAUCAGAUGCUUGAUGUGCUGCAUCAACUGAAGAUUAAUUUAAGAUCUGAGAUUGUGAAAUCAAAUCAGCACGUUCGAUUGCUUAUUGUUGAUUCAAUCUCUUCACUGAUUACCCCCAUCCUUGGGGGCAGUAAUCCUCAGGGAACACAAGCUUUUAACUACCUGAGUUAAGAGAAUGUAAGUGCUUGCUAUUUAAAGAAGGAUGUAGAGGAGUAUGGUAUGCGUCUUGUGUAAACAUUAGUUUCCAACAAUUAAUUUUAAAGAGCUGCUUCUUGUUUUAUUAAUACUUUUCCAGCCAUAUUUCUCUAAUUAUCUGAGAACUAUGUAGCAAGUAAGUACUUCAUUCUGAUUUCAAAGUUUAACCUCUAAGUCACUAUUUUGUUCUUCUCAGAGACACAAAAAAAGCAAAAGAAUUGAUAUCUCCCAGGAAAGAGUAUAUAUUGUUUCGUAGAGGUUUAUAAAUUGAUUGGACUCUUGAAAUGAGGAGUCCGGUUAUAUGAAUCUUAAGCCAUUCUGCAAAUUGAUUAGAGGACAUGCUUUAAUGAUAUCUGCUGGGUAUUUACUGAAGAAGUUAGCUCAUGAGCAUAAUAUUGCUGUUUUGGUAACGAAUCAUGUGGUGCGUGGGGAAGAUGGUAUUUCCAAACCAGCUCUUGGAGAGAGUUGGAAGAGUGUCCCACAUGUACGGCUUUUGUUUUCCCAAGAUUGUGGAAGCAAUGUGUGCAAUAUUUCAA